AUCUCCUCGGGGCGCAUCAGUGAGGAAUAUUGGUCAAUGGGCGGGAGCCUGAACCAGCCAAGCCGCGUGAGGGAAGAAGGUACAGCGUAUCGUAAACCUCUUUUGUCAGGGAACAAAGGCGGGGACUAGUCCCCGGAUGAGGGUACCUGAAGAAAAGGCAUCGGCUAACUCCGUGCCAGCAGCCGCGGUAAUACGGAGGAUGCGAGCGUUAUCCGGAUUUAUUGGGUUUAAAGGGUGCGCAGGCGGCCUGUUAAGUCAGCAGUAAAAGCCCGGGGCUCAACCCCGGCGAGCCGUUGAAACUGGCG
This 305-nucleotide ribosomal RNA is filed under the name uncultured bacterium. Its description in RNAcentral is "bacterial SSU rRNA". It matches the Rfam family "Bacterial small subunit ribosomal RNA", at positions 335 to 638 of the family's 1533-position model. The record is from RNAcentral.